CAGCCGCCACGGGAACACGAGGGGGGCUAGCGUUGCUCGGAAUUACUGGGCGUAAAGGGCGCGUAGGCGGACAGUUCAGUCGGGGGUGAAAGCCCGGGGCUCAACCUCGGAAUUGCCUUCGAUACUGGCUGUCUUGAGUAUGAGAGAGGUGUGUGGAACUCCGAGUGUAGAGGUGAAAUUCGUAGAUAUUCGGAAGAACACCAGUGGCGAAGGCGACUCUCUGGUCUGUAACUGACGCUGAGGAGCGAAAGCGUGGGGAGCGAACAGGAUUAGAUACCCGUGUAGUCCCUGUCUCUUAUAC
RNAcentral lists this ribosomal RNA (301 nucleotides) under uncultured bacterium. RNAcentral's name for it is "partial 16S ribosomal RNA". It matches the Rfam family "Bacterial small subunit ribosomal RNA", at positions 509 to 807 of the family's 1533-position model. The record is from RNAcentral.